Long non-coding RNA from Artibeus jamaicensis (Jamaican fruit-eating bat), 670 nucleotides. RefSeq lists it as uncharacterized. The record is from RefSeq and is a predicted model, not a curated record. The transcript has 3 exons. NCBI's taxonomy places the organism in Eukaryota, Metazoa, Chordata, Mammalia, Chiroptera, Phyllostomidae.
UAUCACUUGAGAAACCAAUACCCAGUAGCCCUGGUGCUGCCCAGCAGAAGAGAGUCUGGAACAAGUGUUCUGGUGAAAUUCGGGGAGAAAAAAAACAGGCCCUGCCUGCCAAGCACGAAGGCGACUACUGCUUCUCAGGACCAACCAGUCCCAUCUCCUCAAGCCCUGCAGCCCUGUUCCUGUUCAGCAGGAACACCCCAAGCUGUGGUCAGGACAGAAGACCAGGAGACAGGCUGCUCCUUCAACUCCCUGCAGGGAUACAUUCUCACUCAGCUCCUGAACCUGGUGCAUCACCCCUGGCCUUCCCUCUGGGAAAAGAACUGGCUGGUGAGGAAAGUGAUGUGGGAAGCUUUGAAAAGCCUUUGCUCACCCAAAACCCCAGGCGCCCUGGGACAGUGAUAAGGCCGUCUGGGAAAAGCAAAUAGCAGGAUAGUCACAAGGACUGGGGCUAGCACCCCCCCACCCCCAUAGAAUUAAUUUUCACAUUUAGCCUUUGUACUCUGCUUCUGCCCCGUAGAUAGAACUAAUUACCGCAUUCCGCUUCUGUAUCCCGCUUUGCUCUGUAGAGAGGAAGACCCAGUAGGCUAUAUAAACCCCAAGAAUCCUUUGUUCAGGGCUCAGAAUUUGUAGACUGACUCCUGUGGGCCUGUGCACGUUAAUAAACCUCGUA